GUGGUGAUCAUUCCCAACGAAAACACGAACCCUUGUCAAGAUUAAUAAAUGCAACAAAGAUGGGGUUCAAAUUGCACGACGUAUUGUUAGAUUUCGGGCAGACACAACUAACACUCGGCGAUUUGUGGACACUUAUUCCGCCUAAAGUGGCACGUAUGCACAGUUUAGAGACAUCGUCAUUAACAAAUUUCCAUCCUGGUUGGCUAAUUGAUAAGGUGGUGGAAGCAUCUUUGUGGAUGUUGACUUUGGAAUAUAAUGUUUUCGCUGCAGAUGCAUCUUUGACAACAAUAGCCAAACGUGGGGCUAGCACCCGUUUGCUGUGGUCUGGCCAAUGUUUUUCUUCUG
Molecule: long non-coding RNA, 345 nt
Organism: Xenia sp. Carnegie-2017
Lineage: Eukaryota; Metazoa; Cnidaria; Anthozoa; Malacalcyonacea; Xeniidae
Exons: 3
Source: RefSeq, a predicted model, not a curated record